This 21-nucleotide non-coding RNA is filed under the name Arabidopsis thaliana (thale cress). Lineage: Eukaryota; Viridiplantae; Streptophyta; Magnoliopsida; Brassicales; Brassicaceae. The record is from RNAcentral.
UGUGUAAUAAGAAUCGGCCUA